AAAAAAAAAAAAAAAAGGCCCAAUUAAAGACUUCUCAUUAGAUGCUCACACUUUGAGUGUGUGGCUAUUGGCUCACCAGGUGAAGCCUUCAAGUCUUCAGAUCAGGACACAGAACAGGGCUCUGUCCCCAGCAGUGGAAGGCAAACGUGCUCACUGGAAAGAAGACAACGGAUGGGGAGGAGAGCCAGCCGGCCAGAGAGGUGACGGGCUUUAGAAGGGUGAAAGUCUCCGUAGCUUGGUGCAGGAGCCCUGGCAGCGAUCUCGUCUGCAGCUGUAGGAGGAGGCAGGUGGCAGGAGUUCCUCUGAAACACGACACGCGUGGGCACAGAACCACGUCCAAGCUCCAUGUGAUUAUUG
This 357-nucleotide long non-coding RNA is filed under the name Anas zonorhyncha (Eastern spot-billed duck). RNAcentral describes it as "lncRNA (ENSAZOG00000004626.1)". The record is from RNAcentral. Lineage: Eukaryota; Metazoa; Chordata; Aves; Anseriformes; Anatidae.